GCGCAAUUACUUGCCCUUUAAUUGAGGGCCCGUACGAAUGGACCCACGAAAGCAUCCCUGUCUCAUAAUCAUUAAUAAGAAAACUAAUCUCCAGGUGAAAAAGCCUGAAUAAAAUAAAAAGACAAGAAGACCCUGUAGAGCUUCAUUCCAAAAUUAAACAAAAAUCAAUCACUCCUGAACCUCCUUGUUUAAAAAAGAAUUUUGCUGGGGCAGCAAGAAACCAACUAAAACGUCUCUAUAUACACACGACUAUCUGUCCUUUACAAGACCCUUUAAAAUGUACUACAAUACACCCCAAAAGAUCUCAAGAAAAAGCUACCUCAGGGAUAACAGACUAAUCCUUCUUAAGAGUCCACAUUAACAGAAGGGA
This 370-nucleotide ribosomal RNA is filed under the name Dodecaceria sp. BC-2003. RNAcentral's name for it is "partial 16S ribosomal RNA". It matches the Rfam family "Bacterial large subunit ribosomal RNA", at positions 1959 to 2517 of the family's 2925-position model. The record is from RNAcentral. Lineage: Eukaryota; Metazoa; Annelida; Polychaeta; Terebellida; Cirratulidae.